AAUUAUUGGGCGUAAAGGGCUCGUAGGCGGUUCGUCGCGUCCGGUGUGAAAGUCCAUCGCUUAACGGUGGAUCCGCGCCGGGUACGGGCGGGCUUGAGUGCGGUAGGGGAGACUGGAAUUCCCGGUGUAACGGUGGAAUGUGUAGAUAUCGGGAAGAACACCAAUGGCGAAGGCAGGUCUCUGGGCCGUCACUGACGCUGAGGAGCGAAAGCGUGGGGAGCGAACAGGAUUAGAUACCCUGGUAGUCCACGCCGUAAACGGUGGAUGCUGGAUGUGGGGACCAUUCCACGGUCUCCGUGCCGGAGCCAACGCGUUAAGCAUCCCGCCUGGGGAUACGGCCGCAAGGCUAAAACUGAAACAAUUGACGGGGGCCCGCACAAGCGGCGGAGCUGCGGAUUAAUUC
Molecule: ribosomal RNA, 403 nt
Filed under: uncultured bacterium
Lineage: Bacteria
Description: bacterial SSU rRNA
Rfam family: Bacterial small subunit ribosomal RNA
Source: RNAcentral